AUGUCAGUUGCUCUAAGUCACUUGGGGCCUGCCACUAAUGCCAGGCUGGCCUGCCCCCUCCAGCCACUAUGUCGACCACACAGCCUGGACCCCCAGGGCAGGGAGGAGCUGCCAGGAGCGGGGAGGCGGGGAGGGCUUGGCACUGCUUUGAUCUUGGGCAUCAAAGGCCAGGAAAUGCAAUCAGCUCUGAAGAGCACUUGCUGUCAAGCCAUCCCCAGCAGGCACAGGCCCAGACCCCUCCCCACUCUCCCAGCCCCCGCCUGGGCCGUAGUAGGCUGGCCAAGGGCCCUGGGCAGCAGACUGGAAAGGCCACCCCCAUCCCCAAGCAAUUCAACAGCAACUCUGAAUAAGAGCUAAUUCUGCCAGCAUGGCGUCUUCCUGCUGCGCCCCCUCCCCUGCUUCCCUCCACCUCCUCCCUGCCCCCCACAAUGGCUACCCCCUGACUUUUAUUGUCCCAGACAUUUGCAUGAGAACAGGAACCUCAUGCUCUGGGCUCCAUCUGCUCCUGCUUAUUCCUCACUUGGAACUGUCACCCAUGGUCACACAUGCCCCCUCCCCACACCCUCUCCACCUCCACCCAGGCUGCCCCCAGAGUCAGGGCUGGUGGGGUUUCUGGUCCUUGGCACAGGGUGGUGCAUCCUGAGAUAGAGCGGCCCAGAAGUGGACAACGUCUCGUAUGAGGAGGCCAGAGUGUGCAAGUCUCAGGAUCUCUCUCCCUGAAAGGCCCCCAGGCCCAGUAUCCAUGAGUCACAAGCUCCAGUAGAUAGCAUCCUGUGUUGCAUAUAGGAAUUAAAAUGGAUAGGACAAGGAAAGCGAUGUUGUUAAGUAAAUGAGUAAAUAAAUGCGCCUCUCAGAGGGCACUUACUAUGUGAAGAAUUUUACAAAUGUUACCUCAUGUUUACAAAGACGGCCUCAGCUACCUCAGGGAGGCGCAACUGUAAUCCUCUUCAUCCAGGUGAGAAACCAGGGCAGAGACUAAUUAAGGAGCUAGUCCCUGGCCACACACCUGGUCAGAGUGACUGAGGUCAGUCGGUGCUCACUCACCCUCUGAGUCUGUGCUCAUGCCCUGCUCUAGAAGGCUCUUCUGCCUGUCCCCAUCCUUCAACGCCCAUUUCCAUCUUCCUCCUGAAGCCUCCGUGCUUACUGAGACCCAGCAGUCACUGUAUUUCUGGAAAGAUUUUACAAGGACCAGAGUCUCAUUUAAAACUGAACUCUCUGCUUGUCUAAAAAUUAAAAACCUCUUUUGGUUGGAGAUUUUUCAUUUCAAGGUGAUUCCCUCAAAUGCCAAGUGAGCAAGUCAGGAGCCAGAUCGGCCAGUCCACGUGCAGGCCAGGCUGCUAGGCCCUCUGGGUCAGCAUCGGUGGACCCCAACUCUUUCUUCUGAAGACCACACCUCCCCAGGCACUGGCCAGUCCUGCCCCCUUUCCGAGGUCUCUGCCCCUCAGUUUCUGGCAGCUUCUACACCUCGGCUGUGCCCAACUGCACAAGUCAGAAUUUACGGGCUCUCUUUGGGGCUGCUAUUAUCCUGGGGAGACAAGCACAACCAAAUGGACAUGUUGGUCGGGCAAUGGACCCCUGGACUGGGAGAAAGAGAGCUGAGGUCUAUAUCU
RNAcentral lists this long non-coding RNA (1610 nucleotides) under Ovis aries (sheep). Its description in RNAcentral is "lncRNA (ENSOARG00000026000.1)". Lineage: Eukaryota; Metazoa; Chordata; Mammalia; Artiodactyla; Bovidae. The record is from RNAcentral.